CCUCAGGUAGCUAACCAACACAAGCGCUGGCCUUUUAAGCCAGAAAUGGACACAUGAUCCCCUGGGGC
RNAcentral lists this transfer RNA (68 nucleotides) under Tarentola mauritanica (Moorish gecko). RNAcentral's name for it is "tRNA-Lys". The record is from RNAcentral. Lineage: Eukaryota; Metazoa; Chordata; Lepidosauria; Squamata; Phyllodactylidae.